CACAAGGUGAUCGAUGGGAGAUGAGCGCCUGAUGUGAUGAUGAAGUAGAUCGAUCACACCACACACUCACUCACCCAGGUUUCAUCC
This is a non-coding RNA of Drosophila melanogaster (fruit fly), 87 nucleotides long. The record is from Ensembl. Lineage: Eukaryota; Metazoa; Arthropoda; Insecta; Diptera; Drosophilidae.